This 82-nucleotide transfer RNA is filed under the name Sphaerobolus stellatus SS14. RNAcentral's name for it is "tRNA-Ser (AGA) (tRNA-Ser-AGA-6-1)". It matches the Rfam family "tRNA". Rfam says of the family: Transfer RNA (tRNA) molecules are approximately 80 nucleotides in length. Their secondary structure includes four short double-helical elements and three loops (D, anti-codon, and T loops). The record is from Rfam by way of RNAcentral. Lineage: Eukaryota; Fungi; Basidiomycota; Agaricomycetes; Geastrales; Sphaerobolaceae.
GAAGAUGUAGCCAAGUGGUUACGGCGAUUGAUUAGAAACUAAUUCCUCUUUGAGGGCGUAAGUUUAAAUCCUGCCAUUGUCG